UGAUUUCCUUCAGGGUCAACUGUUAUUAUGGUGGAAUUCCUCAGGCACCUUUUGGAGGCUUCAAAAUGUCUGGCUCUGGAAGAGAAUGGGGUGAAUAUGGUCUAUUGCCUUACCUGGAGGUGAAAACAGUUACAACAAAAGUACCAACAAAGAAUUCUUAGAGUCAAGGCAUCAACUCCAGUCAAUGACUACGUGUACAGUACCUCUUUCACUUAGUCUGUCGAGCAAGACUGUAAAUAAACCAUGAGGAAAAAAUGGCCACGUGAAAAUCUGGGGGCGAGAAGUGCAACCCCAGGAUUUCAUCCAGCCAUUUUUUCUCUUGUAGUUUUCUUUUGCAUCACGCACGAUGGACUGCGUGAAAAAGGGACUACUUGCACAUGUAGUCUACUCCAGUCACAGUGCCACAGCAUUGUUGUAGACAGGGAAAAAAUUGCAUGUUAAAAAAAAAAGAACUUUGAUUAGACAAC
This is a long non-coding RNA of Orbicella faveolata, 467 nucleotides long. The record is from RefSeq and is a predicted model, not a curated record. Lineage: Eukaryota; Metazoa; Cnidaria; Anthozoa; Scleractinia; Merulinidae.